Molecule: long non-coding RNA, 983 nt
Organism: Asparagus officinalis (garden asparagus)
Lineage: Eukaryota; Viridiplantae; Streptophyta; Magnoliopsida; Asparagales; Asparagaceae
Exons: 4
Source: RefSeq, a predicted model, not a curated record
AGCACACAUGAAGGUUUACUACGCCAAGAUUAGGCACAUGGAUCAGGCCCAUUCGUCUAGGGCCAACUCUCAGUAUUACCCUUCAAAUUCCUAAUCAAAAUCCCUAACAAACAGCAAACGUUUUAAAAACUGUAACUUCAAAAAUUACGAUGUGAUCUCUACCAAUUUCUUCGCUCUGUUCACAAUCAUCAGCUUUUGGCGCAAUUGAAGAUUGAUUAAGGUAUUGUGCUUAAUUUCACGGGAAGCAAGCGGAUACAAGUCACUCUUGACUCUUACCGUUGUGUGGAUUUAAAGCUAGACUGGCCUUUGCUCAUGUUGCUACUGCAGUGAUCCGAACACUUUAUAUAUCUAUGUUGCAGUUAAUGAGAAGAGGGUAUGAAUUACUAUCUCAAUGCAUGAUGAUGAUUAAAAGGCUAACUGGUCUUUACUCAAAGUGAUCAAAGAUCUCAUUCACAUCCGUUGCUGAUAACUUUCUCCACCACUACUAGAGGCUGACUGAGGUCCCAAAUGGAAGGAGCAGUAUGUCUCCUUGAAGGAUGAAAUGACGAACACAGCGAUGAAGACCGCAGGAAAAGACGAAGAAUAGGUUUUGGGUGCCUGGCGGUCGACCGCGAGUGGCAUGGCGGACGACCGCAAAUAUGCACGAAACAGGGAAAAGUCUCUGGACUUUUCGCGGUCUAUCGCGUCGACUAGCGCGGCGGUCGACCGCGAAACCCUGUAGGAUUAUUUUGGGUUCUGUCGUUUUCUGCAGUCGACCGCGAUGGGUUCGACGGUCGACCGCGAGUCGGGUCAGGCCCAGUUUAGGUUUUUCUGUUCUGUUUGAGUUUUUGUUUUGAUAUAAAUAGGAACUCGAUUUUGAGGGUUUGGUAGGUUUGUUGUGGGGUUAUUUGGAGCACAAAAAAGAGAUAUUUUUUGAGCGAUUAGUUAGGGUUUUGUUUGGAGAGAAUUAGAGAUUUGUUGGUGAGAUUAGUUGGUUGGUUUGA